This 158-nucleotide ribosomal RNA is filed under the name Phyllachora sp. XL-2018g. RNAcentral's name for it is "5.8S ribosomal RNA". It matches the Rfam family "5.8S ribosomal RNA". From Rfam's summary of the family: 5.8S ribosomal RNA (5.8S rRNA) is a component of the large subunit of the eukaryotic ribosome. It is transcribed by RNA polymerase I as part of the 45S precursor that also contains 18S and 28S rRNA. Lineage: Eukaryota; Fungi; Ascomycota; Sordariomycetes; Phyllachorales; Phyllachoraceae. The record is from RNAcentral.
AAACUUUCAACAACGGAUCUCUUGGUUCUGGCAUCGAUGAAGAACGCAGCGAAAUGCGAUACGUAAUGUGAAUUGCAGAACUCAGCGAACCAUCGAAUCUUUGAACGCACAUUGCGCCCGCCGGUAUUCCGGCGGGCAUGCCUGUCCGAGCGUCAUUU